This 70-nucleotide transfer RNA is filed under the name Hylomyscus stella (Stella wood mouse). RNAcentral's name for it is "tRNA-Tyr". It matches the Rfam family "tRNA". Rfam says of the family: Transfer RNA (tRNA) molecules are approximately 80 nucleotides in length. The record is from RNAcentral. Lineage: Eukaryota; Metazoa; Chordata; Mammalia; Rodentia; Muridae.
GGUAAAAUGGCCGAGUAAUAGGCAUUAGACUGUAAAUCUAAGUACAGAGGUUUGUAUCCUCUUUUUACCA